RNAcentral lists this long non-coding RNA (222 nucleotides) under Elaeis guineensis (African oil palm). Its description in RNAcentral is "long non-coding RNA (EGUI_LNC013369)". Lineage: Eukaryota; Viridiplantae; Streptophyta; Magnoliopsida; Arecales; Arecaceae. The record is from RNAcentral.
CUAGAGUUCUCUUUGACUCACAAAAAAGGAACUCACAAUCAAUAUUGAAACUAAUGGUACCACCGUUUCUAUGCCAUAAUGGAUAGAAAGAAUUUUUUAAUAAAUUACAACAAUAGAAGAAAACUGGAUAGGUCUGAGCAAUGACACAAUCAAUUAUUGAACAUACACAGAUAUUUGAGUCUAUAGUACAAAGCAACAAUUGUCAAUAUUUAGGAAGUGGGG